ACACCCCCUGUGGGACAGGCUGCUGCCCAGAGGGCAGAGGUUACAGCAAACACAGGCGCUGAAGUGAACACCCAGGCUCAUGAAGCUCUGCAUGCAGGGCCCAGGUGGGCUUGGAUUCUUGCUGACCUACAAAGAAUUCCCACAUCGUGGCCAGUUUUCAGCUGGCACAGAUACACGGGGUUCUUCCUGACCUCACAGUUUGGAGUUCUUUCAUGAAGAAUGACAUUUUCUGUCCAUAAGGAUGAAUGUUUUCAAAGAAUCUCAACAUCUGUAACAAAAACAAAACCCUCCAAAUGACAAGAGCAACAACAACAACAAAACAAACAACAAAACAACCCCCAAGGACCUUGUGGAAAACAUUCUGGGCUGUGGGAGAGAAAUCCUAUAGUUCAUGUCCUGCCUUUCAAAUGUGCUUUCACAUGUGACUUUAGGCAAAUUACUUGAUCUCUCUAGCUCUGUAUGUACAUGAGCUCAGCAAUAUUUUUUAAUCUAUGGAUACCCAGGAAAUAGCAGUCUUAUCAGUGCUUCUUUAUUCUGUUACAGUUUAGAUAAAACUAUCUUUAUAGAGGUUUAAUAGUGUUUAAGACAAAAUGGAUUUUAUACACAAGUUACAUUUAUUUCAAGAAAACAAAUGGAAGAAGAAAAUAUCUAUGAAUUUUCAGCUUAUCUGGACAAAGACUUUUAUUAGCUGUUUCCUGGGUAACUUUUUGCAAGAAACCUUUAAAGAUAACUUUGUUUUUGGGAGUACAGAAUCUUGAAAUAUGACAAAGGGUGCUGAGAAGUCUUAAUACAAAGGCACAAUGUAUCCCGAGGAAGCUUUCACCAUGUCACCUCUACGGCUGAAUCUCUGAGGAAAAAAAAAUACUCUGCAAAGAAAAGCACAGCAAGAGAGCAAAGAUAAUCAGAUGUAUUAACACCCAGAGUUAGCAACAUCAAAGUGGGUAGGUCCUGGUUUGGUUCUGUUGGAUGUGCUUUGGGUUUUUUCCUGAGGCCCUGCACUAAGCUCAGUAACUCUUCUACAGACGGAAGAUUCAAGAGCAAGAGGGAACAUUUUGCCUUCCUCCACAGCAGCCUUUCUGAAGUAGAUUAGAUGUGCCAUGAGAGACGAUGCAGGGUGAUCUGCAGAAGGAGAUGAUACAAUUAACAACCACCAAUAGAAAAGAGAAGAAGUCAAUAAAUAUUUCUAUUUCAUUACUGUAAACUGGAAAGAAUAAUGUACUUGCACAACACAAAGAUAAAGUACCUUUCAGUUCACACAUCAUCUACUGAGGGUAAGCAAUGAGGAAUUUGUGUGACCCAGAUGACUUGCACAUCACAGCCCAAACUGGUGAUGAACAUUUUGACAAAUUGUGAGAACUCAGAAGAAGCUCAGAAGAGUUACAACAAUCUGUCAGAAGCAUUCAAAAGGGACAUUUCAUGAAAAUGUUUGGCAUGUUUCUAGGCCAAAGGAAAAUAAUGCUAUUUUAUUACUGUAGAUUAAAAGCUUCAAAUUUAAGUAAUGCCAAUGUACUUUAUAACUGCUCAAAAAAAAAAAAAUAUUUUUGAGGAAAUUAGUUUUUGGAUGCCAAAACUACCUGAAUUACUAAAGUAAUUAUUAAUAAUUACAGUAAUAACUCAGAGUUAUUAAUGCAAUUAUUAAUUAUUACAUUAACUACUUAAACUUUUGUAAGGAUUUAGAACCUUGUGACAUUCUACUUAAAAAUAUUGCACUGUGAACUACUAAGGACGAGCUGAUGAAUGGUAUAAAUGACAAAUUAUGGAUAAUACAAAAGGAGCUUUAUUCAUGGAGAAUUUUCAUUAUAGGUUUUCCUAGUGGGAAAAAUCACCAUGGAAAAUCUACCUGAUACAGCUCAAGAUUUUUGUCCAUGAUUUCGUAGUAAAUCUAUCUACACUGUCAAUAAAGUAUGUGACUGGUAAAAGACUAGAGGAAUGGUGAAAAAAUGAUGAAGUAGAGCAGUCAGACACAAUGACCAAGACCAUCUGGUGAACUGAUGUAUUCAGUUAAGAUGCUUUUUCAGUUCAGGUAAAUGAAAAAAUGUAUCCAUGUAAGUAUAGAGAAUGGAGAUAAUUUCCUACAGCAGAAGAACUGGAAUUGCAGAAGAUGUUUAAAAUAUACAGGGACAAUAGCAGAAAAAGAAUCAGUGGAUUCAGCAGUGGUUUUCUGUAUCAAAAACACUCAUUCCAACUCUUGUAUGUGGGAGCACUUAAAAUAAGAAGCAUCUUAUUACAUAGCACUGAAGAGAUGAUUAUUAUCAUACUAACAGUUCUAGAGCUUACAACUUCAAACAACUAUUAGAAAAUUGGUAAAGGAAUCAAUUCUAAUUAUUCAAGAUAUGGGGAAUAUACAUUCCAGUGAAUCCUAUUGGGGUUUUCAGCCUUUUUUGUCUGGCAGGGAAAGCCUACAUGGAUGUCUGGACACUUAAUGUCAUUAAGUUGGGUCAGGUCAGACACUUAAUACAGUGAUUAUUUAAUAAUUAAAUGCAAAUGUACUUGAGAAAUUAUUAAAAAUUGUGUUGGAUUCUUCUCUCCUCAUUUAUUCAUACCAGAGGGUAUAUUUUGGUCGCAGACUAUUGCCUCCAUAAAGGAAUAAUGUGGUGAAUCAUCAAUAUCUGAGAUAGGAAGAAGUUUGGACGAGAUGAGGAUAUAUUGCUGCCUACCACAGAAAGAGGAGGUUAUGGGAAGGAGAAGCCUGGCGCUGGUGCCAACCCAACAUCUUUGCAUCAGGUCUUGGCUGUGCCAGCUUUCAACCCAGUUGGAACAGUUUAGGAUUGUGACAAGAUUUAAGUCUGAGUAGCAGGGCAAUAAUUCCCAGUGGCCUAUCAUCAACAUUAAUGUGAUUUCCACACCAACAGGAAUAAUAUCAUAGAGAUAAUAGAAGUUACAUUUAUAGAAAGUGCAUAUUACAAAUUCCUCCCUCUCUACUCAUUCCAUCAGGAGGAGAGCUGUUCAUAGCAGAGCUUUAUAGCUAUAACAACAGAUAUUUUCUCUGUAGAGGUACUAAGUUAAAUCCCAGCAAUAUCACCCAGCAGAGCAGCUAUCACAAUAUCAGCUCCUAUGCUGGCAACCAGAAAAUUUUCUUUAUAGCACUCCUGAGUGUAUAUUUUAUGUACUACAGCUAAAAA
This is a long non-coding RNA of Melospiza georgiana, 3122 nucleotides long. RefSeq lists it as uncharacterized. The record is from RefSeq and is a predicted model, not a curated record. Lineage: Eukaryota; Metazoa; Chordata; Aves; Passeriformes; Passerellidae. The transcript has 2 exons.